CCUACGGGAGACAGCAGUGGGGAAUAUUGCACAAUGGGGGAAACCCUGAUGCAGCGACGCCGCGUGAGUGAAGAAGGAAUUCGUGAUGUAAAGCUCUAUCAGCAGGGAAGAAAAUGACGGUACCUGAGUAAGAAGCCCCGGCUAACUACGUGCCAGCAGCCGCGGUAAUACGUAGGGGGCAAGCGUUAUCCGGAGUUACUGGGUGUAAAGGGAGCGUAGACGGCAGUGCAAGUCUGGAGGGAAAGGCGGGGGCUCAACCCCCGGACUGCUCUGGAAACUGUACGGCUGGAGUGCAGGAGAGGUAAGUGGAAUUCCUAGUGUAGCGGUGAAAUGCGUAGAUAUUAGGCGGAACCCCAGUGGCGAAGGCGGCUUACUGGACUGUAACUGACGUUGAUGCUCGAAAGCGUGGGGAGCAAACAGGAUUAGAUACCCCAGUAGUC
This 440-nucleotide ribosomal RNA is filed under the name uncultured bacterium. RNAcentral's name for it is "partial 16S ribosomal RNA". It matches the Rfam family "Bacterial small subunit ribosomal RNA", at positions 338 to 795 of the family's 1533-position model. The record is from RNAcentral.